This is a long non-coding RNA of Rattus norvegicus (Norway rat), 14857 nucleotides long. RefSeq lists it as uncharacterized. Lineage: Eukaryota; Metazoa; Chordata; Mammalia; Rodentia; Muridae. The record is from RefSeq and is a predicted model, not a curated record.
AGAGACAGAAAGAUGGGAAAUGUUUAGGUAUGAGUUUCAAAAGAAGAAUACACAAUAAACUGGUUGUAAUUUCCUUUUGUGUAACGAUUUUAAUCUGUCUGGGGGAUUAUGUUCUUGUUGUGGUUGUUUCUGGAGAAUAUGUAACUUGUGGCUCUAAGGUAAUCCUUUUCUUACAGACAGGAUUUGUCUUCAGUGGUAUAAAAAGGCUAAGGAAAAAAGUUGGUUGGAACUUUGCUCUGUCCACCAAAUGCAUAUGUGUGUGUGUGUGUGUGUGUGUGUGUGUGUGUGUGUGUGUAGUUGUGAGAGCUUGCUUCAUCCACCAAGUGUGUGUGUGUUCCCUCAGUGAAAAGUUUGCUGAAUGGUCUACUGCCAACUCUAUGCCCUGCCUCAGUUUAUCCCGUGAUGUCAAAGCCUGCUUUUGACAGAUGACCAACUUCACAUAUUCCCUGAACUGGGUCCUGGAGUGGGAAUGGCCUUCCAGCCUCAACACAAGUUUUGUUGUUGUUUUUCCCAGCAAGCUGGGAGAAGAGGUAUUUGCAGAGUGGAUAGGUGGAAGGCUGGCUGUGUAGAGGGGCUAAGCCUUCUGUGCUGACCUGUGCCAUGAGGGAAGGGUAUUGCUGGUUUCACAGUCUCCCCGUGGGAAGCCUUGGGAUUUCAUUUACGACCAAGAUGAACCAUGGGGUGAUUUGAAGUCUGUUUAGUCAACAGAGCUGAUGCCAGCACAGGCUCUGUGAAUGUGUCACAGCUGGGCAUGUGUGGAAUGCUGCCCUUCUGGGGAACCAUGGAUAACGGUGACCAAUCAGCGGCCAUAGAUGUAGCAGGCUUGGGCAAUACAAGAGGAGGUGCUGAGGGUCAUGGAUGAGAAACUUGGGCCAAGGACACUCACUGCUCCCUAAGAGCCAUUCCAGUGCCUCUGGGACUGCUAAGUGGACUUUUUAAAUGUGGUUUAAUGUGGUUUCAGAAGUCAUCACUCAGGACUACAGGGUACCAAUGACAAGAAGGCAAACUUGAGGUCCUCAAGAGAGCCAGGAAGAACGUGAAAGGUAAAUGGGGAGAGAGACGUGGAAGGGAGAGAGAAGACAAGAUGUUAGCGGGAGACAAUGGUGAUGACCCUUCCAGCUAUAGCCCGUAACUCUCCAUGGCCAGCUGCUGCCCAUGGUGUCUCGGAGCCUCCUCAACAGCGCUGCAGGUGGGAAGGUCUGCAGCCCUGCGACUUGAAUCCCGGGCAAGCCAAGUCUCUGAGCUAGCUUGGUGUUUCUUUCUCUAACACAUGUGGCUAGCUUAAAGCACCUGUAAAGUGUCAACCCCACCCCCACCCCCACCCCCAAGCUCUGCGAAUUAGGGCUUUAUGACCCAUGGAUAGCUGAGCUCUCCAUAACCAAGACCAGGGACAGGGCUGGUCCAUGAUUCCCGCCUUGCUAUCUGGUUUGCUGAGAAUCUAGGGCUUUCUGCAGUUCACUCAGUGGAGUUGCCUAAGUUAAGGGCAAGAGAAUUUGGAGGGUGGGAAAGAUGACGGAAGGAAGGAGAGGAGGGGUGGAAGCAGGGUACUCACAGCAGGAAGAGAUGGGCACACUGAUGGCCAAGAUGACCCAGGCAAUAUCCAUCUUGCUCAGGCAGAUGGUGGCUCUGUGCUGGGGCUUGUCCCCUUCAGCCACAUGGGAGAUGUUGGCCACAGUUCCCGGCUUCCAGGUCCCCGCGGGGACCAGGCGGUUGAGGAAGUUGCCCGUGGCUGUAGACGGCACUGUGGAAAGCGGUCUGGGCCCCCUGUCGGUGGUUGUGGGGGAGGCCUCAGCCUCUUCCUUUGCUGGAGAAACAAUACUUUCUGAGACCCCAGAGGGCCAGGCUGGGGCCGGAGGGGUUGCAGAUGGUCCCUGAGGGAUGCCCGGGGGAGGGGCUGAGACACUGGCAUCGAAGGCAGCCUGGGUGGGCCCCGUGGCAGCCGUGAAGACCCUGGAGCUGGCAGACGUGGGUCUGUCAGUGUCAGGGGUGACAGCAAGCCAAGAGUCACUGUGGCUGGAGCUGUCUUGCACGUCACCAUGAGGGCUCCGAGAAGGCACUGGGGCGGGCUGUGUACUGUCAGGGGCACCUGAAGCUGCUGUGGCAUCUGGCUCCCCUCCUGGGCUGGUAAAUGUGGGGCCACUCCCCUGGUUGGCUCUGGUAAGGUCUGGCUUGUCCGUUGCAGGUACCAGGGAAGUUGUGGGGGGCACCCACGAGGUGCUUCUGGGUCCUGUAGCUGGAGAUACUGUCUGAGGCUGUGUCGAAGAGAAGUAGCCCCCGAGUGGGGUCCUGGGAGUGAGAGCAGAGGGGUCUGGCUCCACAGACCCCGUAAAGUUACCUUUGUAGAUUUGGAAUAUCUUCCCCAGAGGACGCUUCGGCCCCAGAUGUGUUGAGCUCUGAUUUCGUCCCCUCUGGCUUUCCUUCCUUGCUGAGUGGCCACCGGGUACAAGUGGGAAAGUGCGAGACGAGCCACCAGUCCCCUUCCUGGAAGAGCCUGGGGGCCUGGGGGGCCUACGAGUUGGGACCCGUGGGGACACUGUGGGGCGGGUGGUGGUUCCUGCUGGCUUUGUUGGCAGGGUGGUGGCGGCAGGGGCAUCAUCCCCUGGGGGGCGGCUCUCUGAGUGGGACGAUGUGGUUGCCAUGGCAGCUGGAGGGGAACCUGUGGGCAGAGGGCUUUCAGGAUGGGGGACGGCAGCUGUCACCAUCACUGUGGACACAGUGUCUGUGGGAGGGUGCCCUUCUGGAUGAGAUACUGUCGUUUCCAUAGUAGCUGCAGCCUGUGAUGAGCGGCCAUCAGGUUUAGGGCUCAGGGUCAUCACAGAGGAGAGUCUGGUAGGGCUGUGAGUUGCUGUCACCAUGGUGCCUGGGGGGCUGCCUGAGGGGAGGGUCUGCAGAGAUUCCCUGGGAGAUGGUCCCUGGACGGCGAGUACCAGUGCUUUGGUCAGUGCCAAGGUUAGGAGAAAGCCUGGAGGGGGGGAGAAAGGAGAGAGGUGAGGAACGAGUGUUGCUUGCAGAUAGACCCUCCUCACCGAGGACUUGAAGACAGCUCCAGGGAGGUAGGAAGGAUACCCGGAGCAUUCCUUAGGCCAUACUGGCACUAUGAGGUGCAAGAACCAAAUGUGCACCCGGGGAAAGUCUAUGAGGAGGCGGGGGGCGGGGAGUACUAUCAGGAUGGACAACAGCAUCAGCCAAUCCCAUCCUUUCCCCAGUUCCCCAGAAUGCAUCAGUCCUCUACCUUGGUGCAACGUCUUGGGAUGGGAAGGGGAGCCUGAGAGACUUCUCUUCUACAUCACCUGCCGCUGGGGAGUAGUCAAGGCUAGCCUGGCCACAGGAACUGUGAGUCACUAAGAACCAACUGAGGAAGGCUUGGGUGGGAGAGCUAAGAGUUCUUUUCUUGAACAACAACAAAGUGCCAAGGUUUAGACCCCUGCUCAUUUAAACCCGCUUGCCUCAUGCUUCCCUUCCUGGAACCCCAGAGCACAAACCCAGCAGCCUCUCAGCUCCGCAGAUGACCUUAAGGUAAGGCAGAGAUGCCCUGAGGUCACAAGAGUCUGAAGGGCAGAAGAGGGCACUGGCCCAGACAAGGGUGACCAGAUCUAGCUUCCUUAACUCUGUAGUAGAGUCUGGGAUAGAAAAUGCUACAUAAAUAAAGACCAUUGGCUACUGGAGGUUUGUCAUCAAGCGCUAUCCCUGUGGUUCCUUGUAUAGUUGAACUUGGGGGAAGCAUCAUUGGGGCUACUUGGUCUUUUUGGGUAGGAAGAGCACUUCUGAAUGAUAAAAAAAGGGGCGGCUGCAUAACAAUGUGUGUAGAUCAGUUUAUUGAGAGAAUGCAAAGGCAUAAUAAAAACCCAUUAAUUUGAAAGCAUUCUUAAAUACAAAUGGUUUUUAUAACCAUAGUGUCAUGUGCCGGUAACCCCCAUAUAUCACAGGCUGCAAGUCUGGCUGUUGCAGCAGCUGGGGGCCAGUGUGCCACUUUGUAGCAAGCGACCUAUUCACGGUUGUUACAACCAUACACCUUGUAGUUCAGCACCACAGGGGCGGUCCCUGGUGGUGGUAACCUUCAAAUGUUUGAGGUACAUUCUAUUACAAGUGGUCUCCCGAGUGUUAAGAGCUGUACGGGGCAGAGCCGGCCUCUGCUGCUGCUGGGUGGUGGGGAAUCUUACAGGGUCUGAUUCUGACUUCUCAGCACCUCCGUGUUUCUCCUCUCCUUUGUUAUUCUUGGACUUCUCUUCAGCCCCAGCUAGACCCCAAAGAGUGGGCAGGCAUCUGUCUGACAACUCUCAGGGCCUUCCUGGACUUCACCAUACUCUAGCAGGGCAAGAGGUGACACUGGUAUCAUGGGUAGGAUUCCUACAUGAAUUCUGGGAUGAGGAGCAAAGUUACUAGCAGUGGGAGUCCUGCUUGGGAGUCUGGUAGAAAAGGCAGGACCCCACUUAUGACUCUUGGUGUCUGGUGGAGCUGGUGAGACCCUGGUUAGCCUCCGGGAAACAGGGUGUGUGUGUGGGGGGGGGGGGACUCCAGAGUGCCUGGAGUAGCGCUCAGUGUGUAGUGGUUUUUGGAAUAACCCUUGGACCUAAUAUUCACAGCUAAGCCAAUGCUGGGAGGCUGAGGGACCUGGUUUUUAGCAGAGGCAACAGCACCUACUGUCUCUAUGGCCAGUGGCUGGCUCCCCGAAGCAAGCCAGUUUUCUACACUUCCAUUCACAAGUCAGCCCACACACUUGCAGUGCAUUCUGCCCAUUCAAGUCGGUCCUAAAUCACGCUUGCUUCCUCCCUAGCAACCACUUGACAGGGUGGAAAGUGAAAGCCCAGGAAGACAAGGGAACAUGUGUGCAGCCACACAGCCGCAGGAGCAUGCGCAACCAGCUUCUCUAAAGCAUAUGCUUUUCCUAGUUAACUGCUGCCAGAGAUGCAGGGCAGCCAGAGGCCUUUCAGCUAUACCCGCAGCAGAAGCCACUUUACUCCCGUCUGUAUAUGGUUGCUACUACUCCAGUCUCACAACCGUACACCUUGCGGCUCAGCACCACAGGCGUGGUCACUGGUGGUGGUAACCUUCAGUGUUUGAGGGACAUUCUGCUACAAGUUGGUUUCAUGAGUGUUAAGAGCAGAACUAUGCUCUCCCUCCGCCCUUUGCCCACCCCAUCCCGGAAUCUCAGAAUUUGACUGUUUUUUGAAGAGAGGCAUUCAAAAAGAUUCAAGUGAACAGAGGCUAGCAGGAUGAACCUUAACCCAAUUUGACUGGUCCCUUUCUGAGACGGCUCAUCAGGGUGAUGACGGGGACACAGAGGACCCUCUUGUGAGGGCAGAGAGGCAAGAGGGAGGAGGCUGGCAGUGAUGGGGAGAGAGGAGCCAAUCAAUGGCACCACAAGAAGCCAACCUUGGUACCACUUUGAUCUUAAGCUUCCAGCCUCCAGAAGCUUUGAGGAAGUGUGAGUAUCUGUGGGGUUUUAGCCCUCCAGGGAAUGCUAUUUUCUUACAGCAGCCCAGCAUUAGGCAUUUUGUAUUAGAACUCUUCUGGAAGGGGAGGGAUGGGGGAGUGGUUUACAAUGGGAGAUGAUCUGAGGGCCAGUCAAGGGGGCUGAGAUUGGUGAAACAGGGAAAGCUCAAUCUGAGGGCAGCUGUGAGCAGACAGAAAAUACCUCAGUCUUACUGGGAGCACCUCACAUGUGUCUUAAGGAGACUCCCUCCUAGCUGAGGGCUCAUCCUACCCCCUAUACCCUCUGGGUACCACAUGGCUGAGCUAGGGAGGUCUUCAGUACAGGGGCUGGCAGGAGAUAGCUAUGUCCAUUUGGUGGCUGCUGUAGUAGCUGGAGUCCCCCAGAGGAUUGCUGAGCUGGAACACAGAAUGUGUCCGGUACUCAGAGCCCUGGAGCCAAGGACAAUUAUAUUGUUUUGGCUUCAGAGUCAAGAACAGCAGAGUUUAGAGAGAAGCCAGCUAACCCCAGGGACACGCACACAGAGAGAAGGAGAGCCACUUGGGCUCCAGGACAAUGCCAACAGCCCUCUAGAACACAAAGGGUUUAAAACACUUAGAGAAAGAAAUCCCCCUGAUUCCCCACUAGGAGCCUGCAGGGGCUCGCUCAUCCCAGCCCGACCCCUUGGCCGGAGUUCCUGUGGCUUCUAGCUUGACACAUCCUUGUUGCUGCUGCUCUUCAGAUGCCUCAGAGGUUUUCCUCCUCUCUUCAGGCUGUGAAGCUACUUCUCCAUCACUUAACUUAGUUUCCAGCCUUUGCUACUAUAAAUGCUCCAAGUGUCUUCUGGAGUGCCAUGGUGUUCUAUGUUUUGGUUACCACAGUGCGGGGGCCCUAGAGUUCACCCUAAACCAACCUCUUCAUUGUAUAGGGAAGUGACCCAGGUGUGGUUGGUUUGACAGCUCUUAGAUGAUUGGAGGUGUGUGGUGUAGCUGUUUGCUCUGAACCAAAAUAUGCUGCCCUCAGACUCCUAAGACUGAGAACUCACGAAACUUGGAAAACUCUGUGGUGGCUUAAAACCUCCACAUUAUUCCUCCAGGUUAUGUAAGUCACAGAUGAUUGGAUGGGGAGAGGAGACUUUGAUAGAAUUGUCUACAAGCUUUGAGAGCCUGAGAGGACUGAAACAGGCUGGCUCCAUGACAGGCUUUAAACUGUCAGUUUGGGAGACUAGGCCUAAAUUUCUGUUUCCCAGAACUGGGCAAGUUAGUUAUUCGGAAAACCCACAAGUCAUGCUCAGCCAAUCAGAAGCUGCCCUGCCACCUGGCCUGAGGCAAGAGCCGGUGAGUCAGCAGCAGUUUCCAGGCUUCCCAGCAACAGUCUCCAGCCUCCCCCACUAACCCCAAUGGUUCUGGAAUGUCCCCAGAGCCCUAGCAAUCCCAAAGACUCCCAUAUCCCAAGAGCCAGCCAAUCAAGAUAAAGUCCUCUAAUCUGCUGUAAAUUGGGCCUGGGAGCUCACCUGGGUGUGUCCACCUUGGUCAGUGGUAGACCCUUGCAGGCUAUGAGUCUGGGGUGCCACUCUCGUCACUCUCUGGUGAUUGAUGGCCCCUUAGAAGCCACUGGCGUUCCUGACCAUACCAGAUCCUCAAGCUAGCUCGGUCUGGGUGGCAUCAUUCUUUGCUCUACUGCCACCGUACUCUGACUGGGGCAACUGUUUUUUGUUUUUUUCUUUUUUCUUUUGUUUCCCCAGUAAAAGUCACACAACAAGGAGAGGCGGCCUGAAUCACAGUCAUUAUUUUAAAAUAAAAAAGUUUCACUUGUAUCGUAAAAUAGCUCCAGAGUUGAACUGUCCAACCCCUUCCAGCCUUCCUUGUCACCUUGAGUAAGGAAACCAGAGGAGAGCUUACACCCUUCUACUUCACACAAAAGGUUGUUAGCCAGUGAAGGCUGUGAUGUACCCUGUCACAAGCAUGUGCGAGGCCUUCAACCAGGGGCUCCCCUAACACAUGCAAAUUUUCAUUCAAGGCCUUUUGUACUGGUCUACACACUCCCCUCCCCACAAUCUGGGGUGACUGCCUCUUUGCAUAGCAUUUGCAUGCAUUUGCAUAAGGUACUUGAGACUCUAACUCUAAAUAUGUAAGAGUCACUAAAACAAAAAUCUAGCUUGACAUGCCUAAAACGUAGAGCCAAAUUUUAAAAGAAACGUGUCAGGAUAAGUAUGUGGGGUGGGGGGCUGGGGUGGGUGCCCACAGACUGAUGGUGCCCAGAUGUCUUAGGAAGGCCUCCUCCUCCCUAAAAUCUCCAUGCUUGGGUCAUCUUCCCAAGGGAUGCAGAGGGCAUCUUCAAUAAGACACUGAACAUUCCUUGUACCGUACCCUGCUGGAAGAGCGAACCCUCGCAGGCACGUGGACAGGAGGUCCUCUUAGCUCCGUGCUGCAGCUGAUAGAUGGAAGCCAGCAGGCCCUGUCGAUGGCCACACAGCUUAGGAGCCCGGAUUUGGUAAAACCUGGCUCUAAUGACUGCAUUCCAACCUCUUUGAGUUAAUGUACCUCUUUUUUUUUUUUUAAUCAGUGCUGUCAAUGGAAGCCAGAGUCCUAGGCAGGCUUUACCACUGAGCCGCACUCCCCACCCUGAACUCCUCUGCUCGUCCCCCUCCACUCUACCCUCUGUCCCUAGGUUCUGCACAGCCAGAGGUUAUGAUCCCCCAUCUCUGGGAAUUCAUUUUCUAGGUUGAGUUUUUCCUCUCUUGCCUAAAAAUAAAUGGUAUGUUUAGGCUUGUACACACACAUUCGUUAUACUGAUAAUUUAUACUAACAAUUCCAUUUAAUUUCCUCAUUAUUUUAAAUGUCUUCUUAACUAGAUUCUCUGCCACAUCAGGGUGUUCUGUCUACUGGCUUUUUAAUCCUCUCUUAGGCAAUUACAGGAGGCUACAUCCCUUCACCAAGCAUAACUGCCUCAUGGAGCCCAGUCAUCGUUAAGAUUCAUGAACAAUGGCAGCGAAAAUAUCUUACUACAGUUUUAAGCCUCUUUACAAGCAUUUUUUUUUUUUAUUUCAUUUGAGAAAGGAUCUCAUUACGUAGCCCAUACUAGCCUUAAACUUCUGAUUCUCCUAAGUGCUGGAAUUUCUAAGCGUGUGCCACCACACCAUUUUGAAAAACUAAAACACAGUAUAAUGGUUUGAAGUGUUUGCCAAAGAUCACCAGUCAUUGACUUUUACUUCCAAAGCCACUGUGUUGGGGAUUUGGGACUUAAGGCUACAGGGAUGUAAUUUUAUUUAUGAGGGAGUGGGCUCCUUUUAAAACAUAUGUUGGGCCCUCUUUUCUCCUCUCCUCUUGCUCUUCUCCCAUAAGAUGGCAAAACCUGAGGAUCCUCCUGGACAAAAUUGUAGGUCACUGCCCAUGAAGAGAACGUGCUGAACUUCCUAAUUCCCAAGACUUUCUUCUAAUUGGGAAAGGAUGUCUGGACCAUUGACAUUUAAUCCCUCCAUCUGAUACAUGAGAAGACGAGGCCCUGCCCCCCCCCCCCCCACGUAAAAUGAUUUACAGUUAACCACAGCUAUACAGGGUCAGAUGGGGAAGCAGGUCAGGCCAGCACACUUCAUGACUAAUUCCACUGAUGUUCCCAAGUCCCCAGCUCUUUUUUAUACUCAGCUUCCAGAACUUUAAUGUGUUCUGCUCUUUGAACUCCAAUGACUCCUUUUUACUUUAAAGACCACAUAUAAUAAAUGCUAAUUCUUCAGAGCAUGGUUUUGCUUAGAAUUAAAUAGGCAUCACUGAGUUCAGGGGAUACUGCUCUGAAGCGGCAACCCAGGUCUCCUGACCUUGACUAAAGAGCUUGUAGCACAAAUCUUUUGCUGCUUCCCCCUCUCCAGGCAGCCACGCUCCACAAGCCCCCUCCCAUCAAGCUGGGUAUCCAUUCACAGGGUGGAUGGGCAGAAGUUCUGCUCAAGCCUCUGAACUAACUGGGGCCGUCACCUGGUGGCUUCCAGAAAUGUCCGGAGAUCACGGGUUCAACAGCCAGACUGAUGAGGUCCAUGACUCCACUGGGAACUGCUUCCCAGAACACAGUCUCUAGAACACAGGCAAGCAAGAAAACCACGUGAGUCGGGCCUGUGUGCCCCGACGCACCUGUGGCCAGUGUGUGUGUGUGUGUGUGUGUGUGUGUGUGUGUGUGUGUGUGUGUGUGUGCUCACAACCACAUGUUCAUGCCCUCUUUUGUUUCUCUUUCCCGGUUCCUCCUGACCUCAUGGCACACGGCAUAGUCCUUUUUCUUGGAACAAGAAACAGACAAGCAGGAUACAUUUUGUAGGUUGUGUUCCCCCUGCCCCCAAGAGCUCCAAGCUAUCAUAUGGUCAAACCAUUUGUCUAAGGUCUAAAGCAUGCCACAUAGCAGCUCUGGAUAAAAGCUCAGCUUUCUUUGAUCCUAGAUGCUCAAGAGAUCCUCAACACGGAGGGAGUUUUUGAUUCAGGAAAAGGUCCUUAUGAGCAGAGGAAUGUCAGAUAAAGACAACCUAGUUGUUGAGAAUAUAACCACUGUUACUGAUGACCAUAAUUUGAUACCCUAUAUUCCCAAAUGCAGCAACAUACGGGCAACUCUGUGCCUCUGGUUAUCAGCCUUAGUGACUGUGACUUAAUGCAGACAAAUGCCUUGUCUUAGAUGGCUUCUGAGCCUUGGAGACUUUGCUGGGAAUGUCCCAGGGGCUGGGGAGCAUGUAAUCUCCGAGCCAAGGCCUGGCCUACCUCCUAACUGCUCUGUCUGAAGCACCAGGGUUGGAUCGAUGCUUCAGGGUUACAGCCCUCCUACCCAGUUCAGCGUGACCUACCAUGAAUACUUACUGAGGGAGGAGACCCUCUGUCAUCCCUGUCUGAAGAAGAAUUUCUAUUUUCCACAAGUGACCACCACAGCACAUCUAAACCCACUCAUCUUCCUCAGAGUGACUUUGGCACUCCCACGGAGGUGGUCUUCGUUCCCUCCCCUGAGUAUGGUGUGACCAGUGACUAUGGCUGAAUGACUUCUGAGACUAAACAUGAAGGGUGUGGUCUCUUUCCUGUGUUCUUGGGGUACUUACUCUUAGAGGCCAGCGAGCAUUCUGUCUGGAAACCUGAACAACCUAGAAAGAGGGACUGUGUGCGUAGAAGGGAACAGAACCUGGCCUUCAGAGCUAGCGAACAGUCAAGCACCACAUGCUGGUUCAGUGGGGAAGAGGAUGUCAGAACCUUACCAAGCCACCCGGCUAAACCUUUGGCAGAGACAAAUGACCCUCUUUUCAAACUCCGGUUUUAUGAAUGGAAUAAAGGAUGAAUAUAGUUUCUGUCCUAAGUUUAAGAAUGGCUCGCCAGGAACCGUAGGGUGUAAAAUACACCCUACAUAGUAUUCAGCAAUCGUCCUGGGUUUCAUCAUGGGGGUGAGGGAGGGGGAGAGACAGGCUUUAAAUGUUUUCCUGCAGCUCUAUGAUUUCUGUGAUACAGUGUCUCCCCUACAAAGAAGAGAGCAAGCACACAGUAAGAGUGUUACAAAGCUCCUACUAUGUGGGACAGAAGAAAGCUGGAGGCAACUGGUUCCUGCAAAGGCUCUGUUCUAGAAGGGAGGAAAAUGAGAGGGAACUUGUACCAGCAAGCAAAAGGGUCCCUCGAAGACUCAACAGACACAGUGAGAGUUGGAAUCAGAUGGAUGAAAAGGUCAAGGCAGCCUCUGAUGAGAUAACACGGUCCUCAACAUUCAGGGGACGGCUUGUUGUCAUCAGGAGAGAGAACGGGUUCUGAUGGCCUCUGACUCUGUUAACAGGAGGGGGUUCUGGGGAAUGCGGAGGCUAGGGUAGUGUCAGUGGGAGGAAGGAUACAUGGUCAGAGUUUCAGUUACAGAGGAAAAGCCCUGCAGACCUACUGUGCACUGUAGCAACUACAGUGAAUGACAUGUGCUGCACUUCAAAAUGACCCAAAGGAAGCCUUGAAAUCCUGGGUGUGCUGGGACACACCUCUAGUCCCAGCACUUGGGAGGCUCAGGCAGGAGGUGGUGAGGUGGAGGCCUGUUUAGGUUACAGAGAAACUAUGUCAAAAAUAAAUGAAUUUUUAAAUGUUUUCACCACAGGGAAAGUAUAAAUUUCCAAGUCAGUCAAAAAUAAAGACAGCCAGGCAUGGUGGUGCACACCUUUAAUCCCUGUACUCAGGAGGCAGAGGCAGGUGGAUUUCUAAGUUCAAAAACAGCCUGGUCUACAGAGGGAAUUCCAGGACAGCCAGGGCCACAUAGAGAAAACCUGUCUCAAAUGUCCUCCCAACCCCAUAAAAAAGACUUCAAAGAAAAUGGUCUGAUGGAGCUCAGAGCUGGGAUGCUUCAGCCACGCAAUCAAAGCCAACACUGGCCAGGUUAGAGUCAUGAGGACAGCUUAUACAUUGACAGGAAACGGCACCUUACCUUCCCAGUUCGCUCCCUUAGGCCUGUAAUCCCAGUGUGAUUAUAAAACACCACCACCAGAAAAGGUCCCAAGCUGAAUGCUUUACAAACCUCUGGCCAGUACUCCUUGGGACUGACAGGGCUGGGGCAGGGAGAUGGCUUGGUGGUAAGCCUGGUAACCUAGUUCCACCUUUGGAACCCACAUAAGAAGAGAACCAACUCCAUAAAGUUGCCCUCUGAUGUCCAUGUGUGUGCCUCAUCCAUAUUUGUGUAUACAGUAACACACACACACACACACACACACACACACACACACACACACACACACACGGGGUUGGGGGGAGAGAAGCCCAUCACGUUUCUCAGGACCUGAUAGUCGUGAAGACCUAAUGUAGUUUGUGGGGUCCAGGGUAAGCUGGAAUGGAGAAAGGACUUUAGGCAGAAUCGAGGGCACUGUGAUAACAGUGAUAUGUAAUGAUUACCGUAAGGAAGCACAUUGUUUUAUUAACCGUGACAAAUAUUCCAUGGUAUAGGAGAUGUAGAAAUAAAAGGCCAAAAAAAUAAAAGCAAUGUCUCAACCCUUUAACCAUCAGACCAUGUCUGCAAGGCCCUUGACCCCAGUGACCUAUGAGCGAUACAGCCUAAUUCAGGGUGAGCCAUGGCACCCUGCCUAAAGGGCCAAUUUCAAGGAAAAAAAAAAUCUGCUGUUAAGCUGAGUACUUACUGAAACGGAGAGAUGUCCAGUUCUAUCCAGACGUGACCCCACAUAGGUGUCUCAAGAGACAUCGUCAAGGACUCCCCAACUUCUGUGAAAGACUCCUGCCUCCACCUUACCCUGUGCAAACCCCUCCCUGGCAACCUGCAUGCUGCUUUCUUGUGCAUUUCAUACAUACCAUUAGUUAAUCCUUUCACUGCCUGUCACUGGCCUUCUGGAUAUUGUUCUGUGCCUUAGGAGACUGGAUACAAAGACCUAGGAGCCUCACUACCAUCUCCCCAGAUCCGAUAUAAAUUCAAAAUUAUUCUCAAAGAGACACAUUGAAAAUGGCUAGUGGACAUCGGACAGGGGACAUAGCUGAGGAAAAGGUUUGUGAUCAACUUUCUCAGCAACCUGGGGUGAGAUCUUGUGUUUACCAGUGGGCCAGAUGGAAGAAAGGGGCUGAGACUCCCCCUUGACCUAUCGCUGGCUUCUAGAAAGAAAUGGAAGCUGGCUUUUACUUUGUCUAUGGCUACUGCUGUAUAUCCCAUAAUUUCCAACUCCCUGUCUAACAACCGAAGUGUGAUGUUUGGAGGUGAAAUGGUCAGCAUGAAGAGUUUGGAUGCAGUUCUUCUUUUUUUUUUUUGGAGCUGAGGACCGAACCCAGGGCCUUGCGCUUGCUAGGUAAGCGCUCUACCACUGAGCUAAAUCCCCAACCCCUUGGAUGCAGUUCUAUGUGAGUGUUUUACCUGCAUGUAUUAUAUGUGUACCACAUUCGGACCCGAUGCCUAGGGAGACCAAAAGAGGGCAUCAGAUCCCCUUAAUGGUUGGAAACUGCCACAUGGGUGCCAGGCACCUAAUCCAAAUGCUUUUCACUGCUGACUCAACUCUCCAGUCCCCCUGGACACACAGUUUAAAAGCUCACUUCAAUUCCAACUGAGCAUGCAGGGUAAAUGCUACUAUGAACAAAACCUCAUCUUGACCAAGAAAGCAGACUUGGAAUGCACAGCUUACUCAGUCCACACAGCAAGGUUGCCUUGGUUCUCAGAGGCUGUGUGGGGGUAACAUGGUGCAUUGUCUCCUCAGACCCACUCUACUAUCCUGGUACUGUCAGUAGUGUUCAACCCCAAAAGUAGGUUUGAUCGUCAUCACUUUGUCCCAAAGAAAGUAGGGCAUCUCAUCUUGCAGCACGGAAACAGUACACCCGAGUCCAGAGCUCUGGGGUACCCUGCUCCCAUACUCACUGUGAUAGCUGGUUGUGGGCCUCAGGCAAAGGAGGCCAGCGGCGGAAGUCAGCUGCUUUUCUUAACCACAGUGAAGACAACAGUGUCUAACUGGAGUGCUUUCUGCAGCAGAUUGGGAAACGAGGAAGCACGGAGAGCCCCACACAGGGCCUGAAUUCACACAGGGGACUCGAAUUCUGAACUGAGGCUCUGGUGGCCAGGGAUCUGUGCCACUUUCUGCCCUCUCACAUGAGCACAUUGCUCUUGAAAGCACGAGAGAAUGAAGAGGUUAAGCAGACCCACCGGUCUGAGCUACUAGCAGUUGAUUGCUGGGAUGGUUAGUUAACUGUCAACUUGACAUAACCAUCUAGAAUCAAGGGGAAGAGAGUCUAGUCUUGGCGAGGGAUUGUGUAGACCAGGUUGGCCCAGGUGUGGGUGUGGGGGGAUUAUCCUGACUAUGCUAACUCAUGUGGGAAGACCACACCUACCAGUGGGCAGUGUUACUCCCUGGGGGUGGGUCUUGGGCUGGAGAAGGAAGCUCCUCAUCCCAGGACCUCGUUUAUGCUUCACGCUGGCUGUGAGAGUCAGGACGCUCCAACACAGUUGAUGACAUGGGCCUUACUCUCAGAGCUGGUGUGAGCUUUCUGUGCUCAGGGCUUUCCUGUCAACCUGGUGCAUACUGGAGUCAGUAGAGGAGGAAGGCCCCGAUCACUGUGGGUGGAGCCACCCCCGGGGCAGGUGGUCGUGGGUGCUAUAAGAAAGCAGCAGGCUCAGUGGGCCAUGGGGACCAAGCCAGUAGGCAACUUUCCUCCUGUGUCUAGCGCUUCAGUUCUUGCUUCCAGGUUCCUGGCCUGUUUGAGUUCCUCUUCUGACCUCACUUAGCGAGGGACUCUGAUGCGGAACCACAGCUGAAAUAGACUCUUCCCUCUUUAGUCGCUUUUGGUCCUGGUGCCUAUCACAGCAAUAGAAACCCUGACUAAGAUAGUGUCCUAGAGGGGGUUGGGGAUUUAGCUCAGCGGUAGAGCGCUUGCCUAGCGAGUGCAAGGUCCUGGGUUCGGUCCCCAGCUCCAAAAAACAGAAAAAAGAAGAAGAAGAAGAAGAAAAAAAGAUAGUGUCCUAGAGACACCUCGAACAAGAAUAUUAAAA